RNAcentral lists this non-coding RNA (22 nucleotides) under Sus scrofa (pig). Lineage: Eukaryota; Metazoa; Chordata; Mammalia; Artiodactyla; Suidae. RNAcentral also lists the same sequence under 1 other name. The record is from RNAcentral.
GUGCUCGCUUCGGCAGCACAUA